GCAUGAAUGAUUACGAGAUCCUACUGUCCUAUCUACUAUCUAGCGAAACCACAGCAAGGGAACGGGCUUGAAUAAUUAGCGGGGAAAGAAGACCCUUUUGAGCUUGACUCUAAUCUGGCAGUGUAAGGAGACAUAAGAGGUGUAGAAUAAGUGGGAGAUAUUAGACCUCGGUUUGGUAUCGUCAAUGAAAUACCACUACUCUUAUUGUUUCCUUACUUACUUGAUUAAAUGGAACGUGUAUCAUUUCCUAGCCAUUAUACGGAUAUAUUUAUUAUAUCUUAUGGUAUUGGGUUUUGAUGCAAGCUUCUUGAUCAAAGUAUCACGAGUUUGUUAUAUAAUCGCAAACAAAUUCUUUAAUAAAACGAUGCAUUUAUGUAUUUUUGAUUUGAAAAUUUGGUAUAACUCCAAUUACUCAGGUAUGAUCCAAUUCAAGGACAUUGCCAGGUAGGGAGUUUGACUGGGGCGGUACAUCUCUCAAAUAAUAACGGAGGUGUCCCAAGGCCAGCUCAGUGCGGACAGAAACCACACAUAGAGCAAAAGGGCAAAUGCUGACUUGAUCUCGGUGUUCAGUACACACAGGGACAGCAAAAGCUCGGCCUAUCGAUCCUUUUGGUUUAAAGAGUUUUUAACAGGAGGUGUCAGAAAAGUUACCAUAGGGAUAACUGGCUUGUGGCGGCCAAGCGUUCAUAGCGACGUCGCUUUUUGAUCCUUCGAUGUCGGCUCUUCCUAUCAUUGUGAAGCAAAAUUCACCAAGCGUUGGAUUGUUCACCCAUGCAAGGGAACGUGAGCUGGGUUUAGACCGUCGUGAGACAGGUUAGUUUUACCCUACUAAUGACAAAACGUUGUUGCGACAGCAUUCCUGCGUAGUACGAGAGGAACCGCAGGUACGGACCAAUGGCACAAUACUUGUUCGAGCGAACAGUGGUAUGACGCUACGUCCGUUGGAUUAUGCCUGAACGCCUCUAAGGUCGUAUCCGUGCUGGACUGCAAUGAUAAAUAAGGGGCAAUUUGCAUUGUAUGGCUUCUAAACCAUUUAAAGUUUAUAAUUUAUUUUAUAAACGACAAUGGAUGUGAUGCCAAUGUAAUUUGUAACAUAGUAAAUUAGGAGGAUCUUCGAUCACCUGAUGCCGCGCUAGUUACAUAUAAAAGCAUUAUUUAAUACAAUGACAAAGCCUAGAAUCAAUUGUAAACGACUUUUGUAACAGGCAAGGUGUUGUAAGUGGUUGAGCAGCUGCCAUACUGCGAUCCACUGAAGCUUAUCCUUUGCUUGAUGAUUCGA
Molecule: non-coding RNA, 1279 nt
Filed under: Drosophila sechellia
Lineage: Eukaryota; Metazoa; Arthropoda; Insecta; Diptera; Drosophilidae
Description: Eukaryotic large subunit ribosomal RNA
Rfam family: Eukaryotic large subunit ribosomal RNA
Source: Rfam by way of RNAcentral